AGGGAUCUUGUACAAAUCUCAUGGUUAUUGCAGCGAAAGGCACAUUGGUGGUCUUUCUGCUAAGCAGCUCCCUUUGCUGAAAGGACUUUUUCCAAAGCAAGUGGUCUGGAUAGCAAGAUUACUGUGUGACUUUUCCGUGUACUGCAUACCAUAUUCUCUGGCAAACACAUUAUCAGAAAGAGUUUCCAGCCCUGGGAUUAAUUCAUGGUGUAGAGUAGAGCUUCCUUGGUCUUGCAGGGGUCCUGUAGGAGAUGAAGAGAAAGGAAGGCUGAGACAAAACCUACAUCAUCCGGCCACAUCUGCAUUGGACCCAAGGCUGGGUGAACCACAUCUGUAUGGCUUCAGGCUGAAAACUGAAGACACUUAAAAGGUCUUAACCAAGUGAG
RNAcentral lists this long non-coding RNA (386 nucleotides) under Gallus gallus (chicken). RNAcentral's name for it is "lncRNA (ENSGALG00010002680.1)". The record is from RNAcentral. Lineage: Eukaryota; Metazoa; Chordata; Aves; Galliformes; Phasianidae.